This is a long non-coding RNA of Pezoporus flaviventris, 792 nucleotides long. RefSeq lists it as uncharacterized. The record is from RefSeq and is a predicted model, not a curated record. NCBI's taxonomy places the organism in Eukaryota, Metazoa, Chordata, Aves, Psittaciformes, Psittacidae. The transcript has 3 exons.
CCGCGCCCGCCGCGGAGGCGGCAGGGAGACCGCCCGAGAGAGCUGUGGGCUUCCAGGUUUACUGUCUAACUACUCCUAUGCUGCACAUCUUGUACCCCAAAAGAAAGCCUUUAUGAUAGCUCUAAAACCCAGAUGCUGGCUUUUGGAGAAGAAAAGAAUUUAUGAAGAAAAGUUUAGUCAGAAGCAUGGUCACUGUUUGUGAUGGGGAAUGUCUGCUGUCUGCUGAAAACACCAAACAAAGACAACCUGAUAAAGAUGAUGGUUUGCCCCAGUGCUUUCAGCCGAGUAUUUUGCUCACUAUCAGGAAGAUCUGAUCCAGAGGUUUGCUAUCUAGGAUUUUAAUGGUUUAUGAAGAUCUACAUGAAAAUCAUUGCAAGAUGAUAAAAUUUUUAUUUAUUAAAUUCUGACUCCCUGUGCUAGCAGUGUUGCUCUGAAGCAAAGCCUGUCCUUGCUAUAAUCUUUCGAUUCUGUGUUUAGCCUUGUUGCUUUUCUUGAUGUUGGUCCUGUAUUUUCCUGAUUUUUUCACUCUGUUUGGUUAUCUUUGGGGAACCCAGCUCUUUCUUCAUUUUCAUUUUCAUCCUAGAGGACAUUUAUGCCAGACAAACCUUCCUCAAACUAACUACAAGGCUUUUCUUUGCCAUUCCCCCAGCCUAGUGCAUGGGCACGAUUUGUUACUGCUAGAUAUUAGGCAGAUAAUACCUUAACAGACAGCUGUGUAGGUAAACUUAUGAUGGAAACAUGAGACAAAUAGAAGAUAACCUCCUGUGGCUGCAGUGUACCUUCUUCUCAUAU